CUACGGCUAUAUCACGUUGGAACACCGUUUCUUGUGCGAUCACCGAAGUAAAGAAACGUCGAGCCUGAUCAGUACUUGGGUAACCGCUUGGGAAUACCAGGUGUUGUAA
This is a non-coding RNA of Acanthosepion pharaonis, 109 nucleotides long. Lineage: Eukaryota; Metazoa; Mollusca; Cephalopoda; Sepiida; Sepiidae. The record is from the annotation of a GenBank genome assembly.